CAAAUAGACAGUGAAGGUCAACGCGGAGGAGCAAUCCGACGCUGCUUCACUUCGAGCACACAAGUCCGCCGUGGCUGCGCGUGGGUUCGUGUGCCUGUUGUCGAGGACGGAGUUUCUCUGCUUGCGCUUCGCGCUAGUACGUUCUCCUCUCCCUUGGCUUCGAGGCGCGCGUUCUUGCGCGUAGACAAACGUUGUUUCUUCUUAGAGGUAUUGACGACUCUACAUAAGUCGUACGAGACAGAGAGCAAUAACAGGUCUGUGAUGCCCUUAGAUGCCCUGGGCCGCACGCGAGCUACAAUGCCGGGUACAGCGGGUGUAAUGUCCUUCUCCGAGAGGAGCGGGUAACCCUCUGAAAGCCCUUCUGAUGUGCGGCGCACUUCGCGUGCGUACGCGCAUCGCGGCUCGA
This 406-nucleotide ribosomal RNA is filed under the name Leucothoe sp. 2 KW-2011. RNAcentral's name for it is "partial 18S ribosomal RNA". It matches the Rfam family "Eukaryotic small subunit ribosomal RNA", at positions 1352 to 1604 of the family's 1831-position model. The record is from RNAcentral. Lineage: Eukaryota; Metazoa; Arthropoda; Malacostraca; Amphipoda; Leucothoidae.